RNAcentral lists this ribosomal RNA (571 nucleotides) under Meyerozyma guilliermondii. RNAcentral's name for it is "eukaryotic LSU rRNA". It matches the Rfam family "Eukaryotic large subunit ribosomal RNA", at positions 54 to 641 of the family's 3401-position model. The record is from RNAcentral. Lineage: Eukaryota; Fungi; Ascomycota; Pichiomycetes; Serinales; Debaryomycetaceae.
AGGAAAAGAAACCAACAGGGAUUGCCUUAGUAGCGGCGAGUGAAGCGGCAAAAGCUCAAAUUUGAAAUCUGGCGCCUUCGGUGUCCGAGUUGUAAUUUGAAGAUUGUAACCUUGGGGUUGGCUCUUGUCUAUGUUUCUUGGAACAGGACGUCACAGAGGGUGAGAAUCCCGUGCGAUGAGAUGCCCAAUUCUAUGUAAGGUGCUUUCGAAGAGUCGAGUUGUUUGGGAAUGCAGCUCUAAGUGGGUGGUAAAUUCCAUCUAAAGCUAAAUAUUGGCGAGAGACCGAUAGCGAACAAGUACAGUGAUGGAAAGAUGAAAAGAACUUUGAAAAGAGAGUGAAAAAGUACGUGAAAUUGUUGAAAGGGAAGGGUUUGAGAUCAGACUCGAUAUUUUGUGAGCCUUGCCUUCGUGGCGGGGUGACCCGCAGCUUAUCGGGCCAGCAUCGGUUUGGGCGGUAGGAUAAUGGCGUAGGAAUGUGACUUUACUUCGGUGAAGUGUUAUAGCCUGCGUUGAUGCUGCCUGCCUAGACCGAGGACUGCGAUUUUAUCAAGGAUGCUGGCAUAAUGAUCCC